Molecule: ribosomal RNA, 454 nt
Filed under: uncultured Prevotella sp.
Lineage: Bacteria; Pseudomonadati; Bacteroidota; Bacteroidia; Bacteroidales; Prevotellaceae
Description: partial 16S ribosomal RNA
Rfam family: Bacterial small subunit ribosomal RNA
Source: RNAcentral
ACGGAAGGCAGCAGUGAGGAAUAUUGGUCAAUGGGCGCAAGCCUGAACCAGCCAUGCCGCGUGCAGGAAUAAGGCCCUAUGGGUCGUAAACUGCUUUUGCUGGGGAGCAAUAAGGUCUACGUGUAGGCUGAUGAGAGUACCCAGCGAAUAAGCAUCGGCUAACUCCGUGCCAGCAGCCGCGGUAAUACGGAGGAUGCAAGCGUUAUCCGGAUUUAUUGGGUUUAAAGGGAGCGUAGGCCGUGCUUUAAGCGUGUUGUGAAAUGUAGGCGCCCAACGUCUGCACUGCAGCGCGAACUGGAGCACUUGAGUACGCAGGAAGUAGGCGGAAUUCGUCGUGUAGCGGUGAAAUGCUUAGAUAUGACGAAGAACUCCGAUUGGGAAGCCAGCUUACUGUAGCGCCACUGACGCUGAUGCUCGAAAGCGUGGGUAUCGAACAGGAUUAGAUACCCUGGUA